RNAcentral lists this ribosomal RNA (692 nucleotides) under Clostridioides difficile. Its description in RNAcentral is "bacterial LSU rRNA". It matches the Rfam family "Bacterial large subunit ribosomal RNA", at positions 883 to 1580 of the family's 2925-position model. Lineage: Bacteria; Bacillati; Bacillota; Clostridia; Peptostreptococcales; Peptostreptococcaceae. The record is from RNAcentral.
CAAGGUGAGAGAUACGGAGGUAGAGCACUGAAUGUCCUAGGGGGUAUUGCACCUACCGAAGACUAUCAAACUCCGAAUGCCGUCAUCUUAUACUUGGGAGUCAGACUGUGGGUGAUAAGAUUCAUAGUCGAAAGGGCAACAGCCCAGAUCGUCAGCUAAGGUCCCUAAAUGUAAGUUAAGUGGUAAAGGAUGUGGGAUUGCACAGACAACCAGGAUGUUGGCUUAGAAGCAGCCACUCAUUCAAAGAGUGCGUAAUAGCUCACUGGUCGAGUGAUCCUGCGCCGAAGAUUUCCGGGGCUAAAACUUACUACCGAAGCUACGGCAUCAGUAAUGAUGGGUAGGGGAGCUUCCCAUACGGGUUGAAGCAUGACCGUAAGGACAUGUGGACAGUAUGGGAGUGAGAAUGUUGGCAUGAGUAGCGAGAUGUGGGUGGGAAUCCCACAGGCCGUAAACCCAAGGUUUCCAGGGGAAGGUUCGUCCGCCCUGGGUUAGUCGGGACCUAAGCUGAGGCCGAAAGGCGUAGGGGAUGGACAACAGGUUGAUAUUCCUGUACUACCGAUAACAGGUUGAGAGAAGGGAUGAAACAGUAGGAUGAGCUAAGCACACUGCAGGUUAUGUGUGCCCAAGCAUUGAGGCAGUCAAAGUAGGCAAAUCAGCUUUGAUAAUGCUGGGAUGUGAAGGGGAGCGCAAUU